RNAcentral lists this ribosomal RNA (735 nucleotides) under uncultured marine bacterium. RNAcentral's name for it is "bacterial SSU rRNA". It matches the Rfam family "Bacterial small subunit ribosomal RNA", at positions 14 to 794 of the family's 1533-position model. The record is from RNAcentral.
UGAUCCUGGCUCAGAACGUACGCUGGCGGCACGCCUAACACAUGCAAGUCGAACGAAGUAGCAAUACUUAGUGGCAGACGGGUGAGUAACAUGUGGGUAUCUACCCUUUGGCCUGGAAUAACACGAGGAAACUUGUGCUAAUACCGGAUAAGUCUUUACGGAGAAAGCUUUAUGCACCAUUGGAUGAGCCCGCACUUGAUUAGUUUGUUGGUAGGGUAAUGGCCUACCAAGACUAUGAUCAAUAGCUGAUUUGAGAGGAUGAUCAGCCACAUUGGGACUGAGACACGGCCCAAACUCCUACGGGAGGCAGCAGUGGGGAAUCUUGCACAAUGGAGGAAACUCUGAUGCAGCGAUGCCGCGUGAGUGAAGAAGGCCCUUGGGUUGUAAAGCUCUUUCGUCGGGGAAGAAAAUGACUGUACCCGAAUAAGAAGGUCCGGCUAACUUCGUGCCAGCAGCCGCGGUAAUACGAAGGGACCUAGCGUAGUUCGGAAUUACUGGGCUUAAAGAGUUCGUAGGUGGUUGAAAAAGUUAGUGGUGAAAUCCCAGAGCUUAACUCUGGAACUGCCAUUAAAACUUUUCAGCUAGAGUAUGAUAGAGGAAAGCAGAAUUUCUAGUGUAGAGGUGAAAUUCGUAGAUAUUAGAAAGAAUACCAAUUGCGAAGGCAGCUUUCUGGAUCAUUACUGACACUGAGGAACGAAAGCAUGGGUAGCGAAGAGGAUUAGAUACCCUCGUAGU